GGAGAAAGAAAAGAUACUUCCAUUGCCUCUACCUGCUCUGCAACAGCCAACCAACCAGACUACUUGAGAUGCUGCUUCAUCGAAUCCUAGCAGAUUAUCAGCAGAUACAACAGGAUAGCCCAAGCUACUUUGAAAUGAAGAACAGGUGCCUGUACCUCCACAGCAAGCUGUCACAUAUUCAGAGCCUCAUAUCUGAAUUUGACAAGCAGUAGGUGGAGUUCUGGCACCAGGCAAGUGCUUCAGCCAAAAAUAUCUAUGAACUCUGGACUUUUUAUUUAAACCAGAAGAUUAGGCUUUUAGGAUUAUUUACUUUAGUAUUAAACAGUAGGUUCUGUUAGCAGUAAGCAGUUGGUUAGUUUCUAA
This is a long non-coding RNA of Poecile atricapillus (Black-capped chickadee), 363 nucleotides long. RefSeq lists it as uncharacterized. The record is from RefSeq and is a predicted model, not a curated record. The transcript has 3 exons. NCBI's taxonomy places the organism in Eukaryota, Metazoa, Chordata, Aves, Passeriformes, Paridae.